GAUGAACGCUGGCGGCGUGCCUAAUACAUGCAAGUCGAGCGAACAGACGAGGAGCUUGCUCCUCUGACGUUAGCGGCGGGCGGGUGAGUAACACGUGGAUAACCUACCUAUAAGACUGGGAUAACUUCGGGAAACCGUAGCUAAUACCGGAUAAUAUAUUGAACCGCAUGGUUCAAUAGUGAAAGACGGUUUUGCUGUCACUUAUAGAUGGAUCCGCGCCGCCUUAGCUAGUUGGUAAGGUAACGGCUUACCAAGGCAACGAUGCGUAGCCGACCUGAGAGAGGGAUAGGACACGCUGGGAGUGAGAGACGGGCCAGACUCGGACGGGAGGAAGCAGUAGGGAAUCUUCCGAAGUGGGAGAAAGCCAGACGGAGCAACGCGGCGUGAGUGAUGAAGGUAAUCGGAUCGGAAAACUCUGUGAUUAGGGAAGAACAAAUGUGUAAGUAACUAUGCAAGUAUUGACGGUACCUAAUCAGAAAGCCACGGCUAACUACGUG
RNAcentral lists this ribosomal RNA (497 nucleotides) under uncultured bacterium. RNAcentral's name for it is "partial 16S ribosomal RNA". It matches the Rfam family "Bacterial small subunit ribosomal RNA", at positions 28 to 507 of the family's 1533-position model. The record is from RNAcentral.